AACGCUAGCUACAGGCUUAACACAUGCAAGUCGAGGGGCAGCAUGGUCUUAGCUUGCUAAGGCCGAUGGCGACCGGUGCACGGGUGAGUAACACGUAUCCAACCUGCCGUCUACUCUUGGACAGCCUUCUGAAAGGAAGAUUAAUACAAGAUGGCAUCAUGAGUCCGCAUGUUCACAUGAUUAAAGGUAUUCCGGUAGACGAUGGGGAUGCGUUCCAUUAGAUAGUAGGCGGGGUAACGGCCCACCUAGUCUUCGAUGGAUAGGGGUUCUGAGAGGAAGGUCCCCCACAUUGGAACUGAGACACGGUCCAAACUCCUACGGGAGGCAGCAGUGAGGAAUAUUGGUCAAUGGGCGAGAGCCUGAACCAGCCAAGUAGCGUGAAGGAUGACUGCCCUAUGGGUUGUAAACUUCUUUUAUAAAGGAAUAAAGUCGGGUAUGGAUACCCGUUUGCAUGUACUUUAUGAAUAAGGAUCGGCUAACUCCGUGCCAGCAGCCGCGGUAAUACGGAGGAUCCGAGCGUUAUCCGGAUUUAUUGGGUUUAAAGGGAGCGUAGAUGGAUGUUUAAGUCAGUUGUGAAAGUUUGCGGCUCAACCGUAAAAUUGCAGUUGAUACUGGAUAUCUUGAGUGCAGUUGAGGCAGGCGGAAUUCGUGGUGUAGCGGUGAAAUGCUUAGAUAUCACGAAGAACUCCGAUUG
Molecule: ribosomal RNA, 694 nt
Filed under: uncultured bacterium
Lineage: Bacteria
Description: bacterial SSU rRNA
Rfam family: Bacterial small subunit ribosomal RNA
Source: RNAcentral